Molecule: ribosomal RNA, 569 nt
Filed under: Candida tropicalis
Lineage: Eukaryota; Fungi; Ascomycota; Pichiomycetes; Serinales; Debaryomycetaceae
Description: eukaryotic LSU rRNA
Rfam family: Eukaryotic large subunit ribosomal RNA
Source: RNAcentral
AAACCAACAGGGAUUGCCUUAGUAGCGGCGAGUGAAGCGGCAAAAGCUCAAAUUUGAAAUCUGGCUCUUUCAGAGUCCGAGUUGUAAUUUGAAGAAGGUAUCUUUGGGUCUGGCUCUUGUCUAUGUUUCUUGGAACAGAACGUCACAGAGGGUGAGAAUCCCGUGCGAUGAGAUGAUCCAGGCCUAUGUAAAGUUCCUUCGAAGAGUCGAGUUGUUUGGGAAUGCAGCUCUAAGUGGGUGGUAAAUUCCAUCUAAAGCUAAAUAUUGGCGAGAGACCGAUAGCGAACAAGUACAGUGAUGGAAAGAUGAAAAGAACUUUGAAAAGAGAGUGAAAAAGUACGUGAAAUUGUUGAAAGGGAAGGGCUUGAGAUCAGACUUGGUAUUUUGUAUGUUACUUCUUCGGGGGUGGCCUCUACAGUUUAUCGGGCCAGCAUCAGUUUGGGCGGUAGGAGAAUUGCGUUGGAAUGUGGCACGGCUUCGGUUGUGUGUUAUAGCCUUCGUCGAUACUGCCAGCCUAGACUGAGGACUGCGGUUUAUACCUAGGAUGUUGGCAUAAUGAUCUUAAGUCG